CGGUAAUUCCAGCUCCAAUAGCGUAUAUUAAAGUUGUUGCGGUUAAAAAGCUCGUAGUUGGAUUUCUGCUGGGGACAACUGGUCUGCCUACUGGGUAAGUAUUUGUGUGUCUCAAGCAUGUUCUUGGACGACACUUCUGCACUUGACUGUGUGGUGUGAUCUCCAAGGUUGUUACUUUGAGGAAAUCAGAGUGCUUCCAGCAGGCAAAUGUUUUGAAUACAUUAGCAUGGAAUAAUAAGAUGAGACUUCGGUUUUAUUUUGUUGGUUUUUAAAAGUGAAGUAAUGAUUGACAGGGAUAGUUAGGGGCAUUUGUAUUCAACUGUCAGAGGUGAAAUUCUUGGAUUUGUUAAAGACAAACAACUGCGAAAGCAUUUGCCAAGGAUGUUUUUUUUGAUCAAGAACGAAAGUUAGGGGAUCGAAGACGAUCAGAUACCGUCCUAGUCUUAACUAUAAACUAUGCCAACCAGAGAUUGGAGGUUGUUAUGUGUACGACUCCUUCAGCACCUUAUGAGAAAUCAAAGUCUUUGGGUUCCGGGGGGAGUAUGGUCGCAAGGCUGAAACUUAAAGGAAUUGACGGAAGGGCACCACCAGGAGUGGAGCCUGCGGCUUAAUUUGACUCAACACGGGGAAACUUACCAGGUCCAGACAUAGUAAGGAUUGACAGAUUGAUAGCACUUUCUUGAUUCUAUGGGUGGUGGUGCAUGGCCGUUCUUAGUUGGUGGAGUGAUUUGUCUGGUUAAUUCCGUUAGCGAACGAGACCUUAACUUGCUAAAUAGUUACAUGUAACUCUGGUUAUGUGGGCAACUUCUUAGAGGGACUUUGUGUGUCUAACACAAGGAAGUUUGAGGCAAUAACAGGUCUGUGAUGCCCUUAGAUGUUCUGGGCUGCACGCGCGCUACACUGAUGUACUCAACAAGCAUUUACUUUGCUUGGAAAGGCAGGGCAAUCUUUAAACAUGCGUCGUGAUGGGGAUUGAUUAUUGCAAUUAUUAAUCUUGAACGAGGAAUUCCUAGUAAACUCGAGUCAUCAGCUCGUGUUGAUUACGUCCCUGCCCUUUGUACACACCGCCC
Molecule: ribosomal RNA, 1070 nt
Filed under: uncultured dinoflagellate
Lineage: Eukaryota; Dinophyceae
Description: SSU rRNA
Rfam family: Eukaryotic small subunit ribosomal RNA
Source: RNAcentral